ACACACACACACACACACACACACACACACACACACACACACACACACACACACACACACAGACAAAAAACCAAACAGCAGCAAGUGUUACUGUAGGAAAAUCGUUCCAGUCAUCAUAAUGUGAACUGAAAGUACAAGCCCAAAGGUGAAGCCUGAAUUAAUGUCUACUGUUCACAUUUUAUAAUAUAAAAGUAUAAAUAAGGCAGCAGUUAUUUGAUAACUGAAAUGAGAGCACUGCAGUGUUUUGAGUUACCUUGUCCAGGUAGCCCAGGUGAUUCUGUCUAUGACUGUCUGCUCUGUGACCUGCUUUCCAGAAGGCACUUCAUAAACCAGCCGUUUAUAAGCACCAGUGGACAACUACGGCAAACAGGAAAAAGAAUAUAUGAGCUCAAGUCUAACCUGAUAUCCUGGAUGGCAGUGCGGCGAUCUCUCUUUUUGCCCCAGAUCUUCAGGGACGUCACAAGGAGGAUAAUGAACUCUCCAUUCUUCAUGCCGAUUGCCACCAUAUCACCGUCAGGACUAUAGCUGACAGAAUGUCCCAGAGGCGUACUGUGCCGUCCUCAGCAGCAGAGAGAAAGACGUCUCGGGUAGGGUGAGCUCCCAGUCCCCAGAUGGGGCCGUCCAUGUGGCCAUUCACCAGGAUGUUACAUGCUGCAUUCUUCUCCCCUA
Molecule: long non-coding RNA, 669 nt
Organism: Tachysurus fulvidraco (yellow catfish)
Lineage: Eukaryota; Metazoa; Chordata; Actinopteri; Siluriformes; Bagridae
Exons: 3
Source: RefSeq, a predicted model, not a curated record